UGUAUUCUUUUCUGCACUUUCUAAUGCUUCAUAAUCAUCUUGGGAAACAGAAGCUAUCAUAUGAAUAAAAGAAUCUGAAAAGUCAGCAGGCUGAAGUGUGAAAGCAGAGUUGUAAGGCUCCAGUGUUGCCAGCAUUUCAGAACCAGAGAGAACAGGGAUGAAAAUAGUCAUGGAGGGAAGGGUUCCAACUGAUGAUCUUCAAGUUAGGCAGUAAAGAUGGGCACCUGCUCUUCUUUUCCAAGAGAUGAUUUCUUGUUCAAGGACCUUUCGCCUUCCUGGUCUCAGAUCACACACCGGAAGAAGGCCUGUUACUUUUGGAGGAACUUACUGACCAGAGGUAGUUCGUGGCCAUAGAAGAUGGUGAGUUUUGACCAUUUACUGGUCUAAAUUCUCUAUUCUGUAUUCUCUGAAGCUUAAGUCGAAGCAACAGAAGUUACUAUACCAUACUAUAUCGGAUUGGUGUUUUUAAGAUAUAGGGCAUAUUAGAAAAGGCCAGGCCUGGGUUCACAUCCUGGCUCAGACACUUACUGGCUGUG
This is a long non-coding RNA of Neofelis nebulosa (Clouded leopard), 536 nucleotides long. RefSeq lists it as uncharacterized. The record is from RefSeq and is a predicted model, not a curated record. The transcript has 3 exons. NCBI's taxonomy places the organism in Eukaryota, Metazoa, Chordata, Mammalia, Carnivora, Felidae.